AAAUGACUCUCGGCAACGGAUAUCUUGGCUCACGCAUCGAUGAAGAACGUAGCAAAAUGCGAUACUUGGUGUGAAUUGCAGAAUCCCGUGAACCAUCGAGUUUUUGAACGCAAGUUGCGCCCGAAGCCUUUUGGCCGAGGGCACGUCUGCCUGGGCGUCACAC
This 163-nucleotide ribosomal RNA is filed under the name Curio muirii. Its description in RNAcentral is "Senecio muirii 5.8S ribosomal RNA". It matches the Rfam family "5.8S ribosomal RNA". Rfam says of the family: 5.8S ribosomal RNA (5.8S rRNA) is a component of the large subunit of the eukaryotic ribosome. The record is from RNAcentral. Lineage: Eukaryota; Viridiplantae; Streptophyta; Magnoliopsida; Asterales; Asteraceae.